UUGGCUCUAUCUAUAUACAACCGCGGCCAGAGCUCGUCCCGCGGCCGCCGCCGCCGCUGCUAUCGCAACCCCCAGCCGCCCGCUUCUCCCUCCCACGGGGUGAGAGCAAGAGGAGCCGCGCCGGCGAGCGAGCUCCCCCGCCGCGAUGAGGGCCAAGUGGAAGAAGAAGCGGAUGAGGCGGCUCAAGAGGAAGCGUCGAAAGAUGAGGCAGAGAUCCAAGUAGACGGAUUGGCCUUGUCUGCAGUUGGUUUGCAGUUUACUGAUCAAUUCUAGUUUUCCUUAGUACACGGAGUUGUAAUGUAUCUGAAACCAUUGCAGCCAGUGUGCGUCUGUUUUGUAAUGAAUACAAUGAUCAUCUGAAAUUCUGAAUAUGGUUCCAAAACAUUUUUCUGAGAAUAAUCCUCGCAGGACAUGUUUGUUUU
Molecule: long non-coding RNA, 422 nt
Organism: Panicum virgatum (switchgrass)
Lineage: Eukaryota; Viridiplantae; Streptophyta; Magnoliopsida; Poales; Poaceae
Exons: 2
Source: RefSeq, a predicted model, not a curated record